AAGUUAUUGAGGAAAAACCUCAUUUUAGUUUCGUUUGUCGCGAGCGAGGGGUGUGAUCGUUUAUAAAUCGCGGGAAGUGGUUUUCUCGCAUUCCGGCAUUAUUUAAAGGUGGGUUGUCACGACCCGCGACCACCCGCCUAUUUGGCCGAGGUCGCGGCGCCGACAGCGCCGAAUGGACAGAGUUUUCCCUGUACUACGGACAGAGUCUCCCCUGUACAUUCAAGGCAUCGCAAUCAAUACAAUACAAUGGUCCCAACGAGGAACAGUAUUCAACAAACAGAUUGCAUAAGGAAGGUAUCAACAACAUAUCACAUCCUAUGUUAUUACAUACAUGCACAUUCAUUGGUUUUACAUCACAAUUCUCAUUUGCUUUCCUCCAAAUACAAUCUAGUUAUUACAAACUUAUCUACAAAUUGAUACAUUGUGUUCUCUUCAUUUUCUAUACCCCUAACCACGUCGACGGGGUACUGCUAGCUCUGGUCUCUGGGUAGGACGCUAUCUACUGAGCUACGCCCUUUCCUCGCGCCGCCGCGCCGCUCACGUGCGAACCUGUAACACCCCAAAACAACGUGGGGUGAGAACCAACUCCAUGGUUCCCAGUGGGUACGGCCACCCAAGGGAAAAGCUCGACCAAAAGGUCUAAGUAGGCCCUGCAACAUGUUAGUUCAACAAUAUACAAUGCAAAUAUAUUCAAUUGAAAUACAUGUUAGGCCUAACAAUAUGCAAUAUGCAAGUCAUGCAACUCUAUGCAAUAUCUAGUAGAUCAUUUGAAUUCUACUUUUACUUAGCUACCUUAGCUCACAUUUCUUUACUCUAAGAUUUCUAUUACCUCAGUUCACAACUAAAGUUCACUUUGUUUCUAAGGUCUCUAUUACCUUAGUUCUUACCUUUAUCACUGGCUUUCAAGGUUUCUAUUAACCUAAUCAAGCUAACCACCCGACUCGGUCUCGAGUCAAUCAUCCGCGGAUAGUCCGCGCACUGGCUGCCCUCUAAGACUUAACCAGCUGGCGGCGAAGUCGUCGCACACGCCGAACACUGGUUCAAGUCCCUCGACUUGGCCAUCUGGCGGCGAACGAAUCGCACCUCACCCAACAAUGGCUCAAGUCGAUCUGGCGGCAUAAUCCACAACUUGGCUUAACCAUCCGGCGGCGAAAUCGUCGCACAUGCCACGACAAUGGUUCAAGCCCCGGGCGGUGAUCUCUGCACAUUCACCCCCAAUCCAUCCUUGGUAUCAACCUCGGCGGCGAAAUCGUCGCACACGCCCUAGCCUUGAUACCA
RNAcentral lists this long non-coding RNA (1278 nucleotides) under Ananas comosus (pineapple). Its description in RNAcentral is "long non-coding RNA (ACOM_LNC043101)". Lineage: Eukaryota; Viridiplantae; Streptophyta; Magnoliopsida; Poales; Bromeliaceae. The record is from RNAcentral.